UACGUAGGGUGCAAGCGUUAAUCGGAAUUACUGGGCGUAAAGCGUGCGCAGGCGGCUCCUUAAGUCAGAUGUGAAAGCCCCGGGCUUAACCUGGGAACUGCGUUUGAAACUGGGGGGCUAGAGUGUGGAAGAGGGGGGUGGAAUUCCAGGUGUAGCAGUGAAAUGCGUAGAGAUCUGGAGGAACACCGAUGGCGAAGGCAGCCCCCUGGGCUAACACUGACGCUCAUGCACGAAAGCGUGGGGAGCAAACAGG
Molecule: ribosomal RNA, 253 nt
Filed under: uncultured bacterium
Lineage: Bacteria
Description: partial 16S ribosomal RNA
Rfam family: Bacterial small subunit ribosomal RNA
Source: RNAcentral